Molecule: non-coding RNA, 1169 nt
Organism: Danio rerio (zebrafish)
Lineage: Eukaryota; Metazoa; Chordata; Actinopteri; Cypriniformes; Danionidae
Source: RefSeq, a predicted model, not a curated record
CUCAACUUCACAAGGCUAAAAGUGCUCGUAGUUGAAGAAUGGCCCAUCUACCAAGCCAGGUCAGAGGUCAUGGAGAGCUCUCGAGGGGAACUGGAUUCCUGGUGGAUUAAAACAACUGAUUCCUGAGUUUUUCUAUUUUAUGUGUAAAUUCUCUGUAAAGUAAUUUUCUUUGUAUGCAGGAGAGAUUUUCUGUCUUAAAAUGCUUGAUUAACAAUGUGGAAAUAUCAAACCAAUACGAAUGUAAUGUGAAACCUGAAUAUUAGCCUGUAGGUAAUUAAUGCGCCACUCAUCAAUAAAGACACACAGAACUUGUUUGACGAGCUCUUAUAUUGGGGAUGCAGAAUGUUUUCAUUGCUUACAGAUUUAAUUGACGCAGACACAAAUGAUAAUUUUACCAACAAAAAUAUGAACACAUUUCCUUUACUAAAUGCCUUAUAAAGAUGACUGGCUGCUUUAUUUUUAAUCCUAUAUUGUAUUAAGCCGUUCAAUAAGUUUUAAAUUAUGAGUAUUUCUGUUGCUGAAUGAAAACGCAAUGAGCGGAUGUAAAAAAUCUUGUGAAUUCUGCAAGAGGCAGAUUUGGUCAGUCUUUCUCCAAUAGUAUCUGCAUGCAGACUUGGAUUUGCAAGCUGAGACUGCAUAUAUCAGACUUACAAUGUCAGACGCUGCACUCAAUGAAGCAAAUGACGUCAUUGUGAGGGGCGGGGUUUGUAUGUGCAUUAAAGCGCAGAUCCCAUUCGCUCCACUAGGCGGCAUCAGCGAGCUGCUCUUUUAGUCUGAACAACUUUGACAACAACGACACCAGAUCAGCCUAGGUACACGGUUUUACUGGCGUCAAGUUGAGCUCCAGUAGCAGAUGACAGCUCAGUGCCAGACUCAUAAUGUCAGUCAACAGCAGAUAUUACAGCCCGACAGCGAAGAAAAGCCACACCAAGUGCAGAAAUGGAGAGUAACGCGACUCACCUCAGUGAAGAUACACACGUGUGUUUGUUGUGUUUCUGCAGCAGAUCUUUGACCUGCGCUCAACAGCUGAUGCUCCUCCACACACUCCUCCACAUCCAGGCGGAUUCACAGCUCCAGUAAAGCUCACACACAGGUCAGCAGUCCAACAUCAGUUCCAGCAAGUGUUCAGACAAGGAGAUCUGUGGCUCUGUGGUAAGAGCGCUGCCCCA